This 1548-nucleotide long non-coding RNA is filed under the name Mus musculus (house mouse). RNAcentral describes it as "long non-coding RNA chr16:30196496-30198044". The record is from RNAcentral. Lineage: Eukaryota; Metazoa; Chordata; Mammalia; Rodentia; Muridae.
UUGGUGGAUUCGCUACAAAGCUGUUCUGGGGUCGUUUCCUUACCUUCGAGAUGAGAAAAGGAUUCCUAGCUCUGAUCACAUAUUUAUCACAAGCAUAUCUUGGCAUCGUUAUCUCGGAGGGGCAACCUUUGCCGCCCCCCAAUCCUGGCCUUCAGGAUAUGAUCAGACCCCUCACUUCUGUCUCUCAGCCUUGGCCAUUCCUCUUGGCUACUGUUGCAUGUGCCUGAGAGAGGAUUUAUGGUAUCAGGCUCCCACUAUGGAAGCCAACAUCAAGUUAAUGGAAUGGGGAGGCUGGAGAGGUGGUUAAGGGUAUUGACUGCUCUUCCAGAGGUCCUGAGUUCAGUUCCCAGCAACCACACGGUGGCUCACAACCAUCUGUAAUAGGAUCUGGCAUCCUCUCCUGGUGUGUCUGAAGACAGCAACAGUGCACUCAUAUACAUAAAAUAAAUAAUUAAAAAACAAAAAGUUAAUGGAAUGGAUCUUGCCCCUGGAGCAAAGGCUCUAGAAACUUAGGAGCCUGCAGCCACCUCACUUAUCAACUCCAAGGAAACCCAAAACAGAGGUGAAAAAGGCAGACAGUCUGAGCUCCUUCCUCCAAGGUGACUUCCUUCCUUGCUUACCUGUGUGGAGUUCUGGGUGGUCUGCCAACAGCAGUUGGGAUCAGUGUGUUAGUGGGUAAAGAAAAGGUGCCCAUCACGAGAAUACCACAAAGAGGUUUUCCUGGGUUCUGACAAUGCACAAGACCCAAAAUCUCUACAACAGAAGCUUUCAUGACUGUGGCUACAGGUGACACAGAGGAUACCCAGGUUGAAGUUGAGGCUGGCUGUCACACAGGGAUAUACAGGUACAAGUCUAGGGGCCUGUACCAGCCUGUAUAUUCCACCUAUGGCCCUCUCAGCAGACGGGUUGAGAUCAUGCCUGCCUCCCACUGUGGGGAUAUCCCCGUGGGUGCCUUACCCCUUGCAGCCUUCUCAGGCAGGUAGGGGUGAACUCAGACAUCCCAGACCUCAAAGCAAAGGCAUAAAGCUGGAGCUGACUACUUCCUGGCUGCCUGCCCAGCCUUCUUCUUGAGAGUCAGUUCAGCAGGUAUGAAAGGGGGCAGACUCAUUGGCAGCUCACAGGGCUUCCUCUGCAGGAACUGACACUUGGUAGGACUUACAGGACCUGGGAACAGGGUCACACCACCGUCACUAUUGGUCCAAGCCACAAAGAAAGAAAGGAUACAAGUAGGACUUAAGUGAUACUGAGAGAUCCUCUAUCUGCUACAAAUAUCACAUGACCUCGGGGCUAGAAAGGACUUCCCAACCUACAGCUGGGGCCAUGGUGAACCCAAUGACUCGACUCUAAAAAUGGAGACACUGGUUGGCAAAAUAAUUUCCCCAAACUCCAAAUUGUGGGACUAUGAUAGACAGCCUAUUUUAGUUAAAUGGGGCUUGCUCCGGUGACCCAGUAGAGAUCUCUACAAGGGACAGAAAAGUGAGCCACAGUCCCAGAGUCAGGUGCCUGACACCACAGAGGCCCCAACUCCAUAAUUCUGUGACUACAAGU